This is a long non-coding RNA of Drosophila innubila, 369 nucleotides long. RefSeq lists it as uncharacterized. The record is from RefSeq and is a predicted model, not a curated record. Lineage: Eukaryota; Metazoa; Arthropoda; Insecta; Diptera; Drosophilidae. The transcript has 2 exons.
CAUUGUGCGCCGUUGCGAUGCCAGUUGAGAAAUACAAUCGAAUGUGCGUGCAUUGCGAAACGGGAAGACGAAACGAAACGAAAGACGUGCCAAAGAGGAAUCUCAAUAGAGAUGAAAUUGUGUAGUGAAAAUUUGUGUAAUUAAGACAACAUCGAAAAGCUAAUGAUAAAUUACAAGGAUGCGACCGAAAAAUUCCUGGAAAUGCGCAACUAAUUUGGCAACAAAACUAAUUAAUGAAAUUGUUUAAGGCAACUGAUGAAGCAGAGCACAAACAAGAUGAUGAUGAUGGAGAUGAUGAUGCAGUUACAAAUGCAGCAGCAGCGUUAUAAAUAACACAAGGACUUGUAGAAGGGCGACCGAGAGGACAAA